RNAcentral lists this ribosomal RNA (253 nucleotides) under uncultured bacterium. RNAcentral describes it as "partial 16S ribosomal RNA". It matches the Rfam family "Bacterial small subunit ribosomal RNA", at positions 524 to 776 of the family's 1533-position model. The record is from RNAcentral.
UACGUAGGGCGCAAGCGUUGUCCGGAAUUAUUGGGCGUAAAGAGCUCGUAGGCGGCUUGUCACGUCGGGUGUGAAAGCCCGGGGCUUAACCCCGGGUCUGCAUUCGAUACGGGCUAGCUAGAGUGUGGUAGGGGAGAUCGGAAUUCCUGGUGUAGCGGUGAAAUGCGCAGAUAUCAGGAGGAACACCGGUGGCGAAGGCGGCGACCUGGGUAGAUACUGACGCUGAGGUGCGAAAGCGUGGGGAGCAAACAGG